Molecule: ribosomal RNA, 253 nt
Filed under: uncultured bacterium
Lineage: Bacteria
Description: partial 16S ribosomal RNA
Rfam family: Bacterial small subunit ribosomal RNA
Source: RNAcentral
UACGUAGGGUGCGAGCGUUGUCCGGAAUUAUUGGGCGUAAAGAGCUCGUAGGCGGUUUGUUGCGUCGGCCGUGAAAACCUGCAGCUUAACUGUGGGCCUGCGGCCGAUACGGGCAGACUUGAGUUCGGUAGGGGAGACUGGAAUUCCUGGUGUAGCGGUGAAAUGCGCAGAUAUCAGGAGGAACACCGGUGGCGAAGGCGGAUCUCUGGGCCAUUACUGACGCUGAGGAGCGAAAGCGUGGGGAGCGAUCCGG